RNAcentral lists this unclassified non-coding RNA (277 nucleotides) under Clostridioides difficile. Its description in RNAcentral is "16S-23S ribosomal RNA intergenic spacer (ISR)". The record is from RNAcentral. Lineage: Bacteria; Bacillati; Bacillota; Clostridia; Peptostreptococcales; Peptostreptococcaceae.
ACCUACUGUUUAAUUUUGAGAGUUCGUUUUUACGAAUACUCAAAAUUAGCACUUUUAGCAACAGAAUAAACUGAACGCAUGUGAAGUUUGUUUGUUGGCGCUGUGCGUUAGCACUUUAAGCAACGGAAUUUAUUCGUUGGCGCCGUGCUUUAGCACUUUGAAAACUGCAUAUAUAUUUAGUGAUAUGACAUCUAAUUUGUAAUAUAUAAAGCUGAUAACUUUUUAAAAUUAUCGAAGUUGAUAGCUUCUAAUCUAUCAAACCUUUUUAACUGGUCAA